CCUACGGGGCGCUGCAGUGGGGAAUAUUGGACAAUGGGCGAAAGCCUGAUCCAGCCAUGCCGCGUGUGUGAAGAAGGCCUUCGGGUUGUAAAGCACUUUCAGUGGGGAAGAAAGCCUUGGGGCUAAUACCCUCGAGGAAGGACAUCACCCACAGAAGAAGCACCGGCUAACUCCGUGCCAGCAGCCGCGGUAAUACGGAGGGUGCGAGCGUUAAUCGGAAUUACUGGGCGUAAAGCGCGCGUAGGCGGUCUGAUAAGCCGGUUGUGAAAGCCCCGGGCUCAACCUGGGAAUGGCAUCCGGAACUGUCAGGCUAGAGUGCAGGAGAGGAAGGUAGAAUUCCCGGUGUAGCGGUGAAAUGCGUAGAGAUCGGGAGGAAUACCAGUGGCGAAGGCGGCCUUCUGGACUGACACUGACGCUGAGGUGCGAAAGCGUGGGUAGCAAACAGGAUUAGAUACCCUUGUAGUC
This 465-nucleotide ribosomal RNA is filed under the name Vreelandella stevensii. RNAcentral describes it as "partial 16S ribosomal RNA". It matches the Rfam family "Bacterial small subunit ribosomal RNA", at positions 338 to 795 of the family's 1533-position model. Lineage: Bacteria; Pseudomonadati; Pseudomonadota; Gammaproteobacteria; Oceanospirillales; Halomonadaceae. The record is from RNAcentral.